RNAcentral lists this ribosomal RNA (1250 nucleotides) under Alfalfa witches'-broom phytoplasma. RNAcentral's name for it is "bacterial SSU rRNA". It matches the Rfam family "Bacterial small subunit ribosomal RNA", at positions 153 to 1399 of the family's 1533-position model. Lineage: Bacteria; Bacillati; Mycoplasmatota; Mollicutes; Acholeplasmatales; Acholeplasmataceae. The record is from RNAcentral.
GAAACAGUGGCUAAGACUGGUAGGAAGAUAAAAGGCUCUUUUAUCUUUUAAAAGACCUAGUAAUAGGUAUGCUUUAGGAGGGGCUUGCGCCAUAUUAGUUAGUUGGUAGGGUAAUGGCCUACCAAGACGAUGAUGUGUAGCUGGACUGAGAGGUUGAACAGCCACAUUGGGACUGAGACACGGCCCAAACUCCUACGGGGGGCAGCAGUAGGGAAUUUUCGGCAAUGGAGGAAACUCUGACCGAGCAACGCCGCGUGAAUGACGAAGUACUUCGGUAUGUAAAGUUCUUUUAUCAAGGAAGAAAAGCAAAUGGCGAACCAUUUGUUUGCCGGUACUUGAUGAAUAAGCCCCGGCUAAUUAUGUGCCAGCAGCCGCGGUAAGACAUAAGGGGCAAGUGUUAUCCGGAAUUAUUGGGCGUAAAGGGUGCGUAGGCGGUCUAGUAAGUCAGUGGUGUAAUGGCAACGCUUAACGUUGUCCGGCUAUUGAAACUGCUAAACUUGAGUUAGAUAGAGGCGAGUGGAAUUCCAUGUGUAGCGGUAAAAUGCGUAAAUAUAUGGAGGAACACCAGAGGCGUAGGCGGCUCGCUGGGUCUUAACUGACGCUGAGGCACGAAAGCGUGGGGAGCAAACAGGAUUAGAUACCCUGGUAGUCCACGCCGUAAACGAUGAGUACUAAGUGUCGGGUUAAACCGGUACUGAAGUUAACACAUUAAGUACUCCGCCUGAGUAGUACGUACGCAAGUAUGAAACUUAAAGGAAUUGACGGGACUCCGCACAAGCGGUGGAUCAUGUUGUUUAAUUCGAAGAUACCCGAAAAACCUUACCAGGUCUUGACAUGUUUUUGCAAAAUGAUAGUAAUAUCGUGGAGGUUACCAGAAACACAGGUGGUGCAUGGUUGUCGUCAGCUCGUGUCGUGAGAUGUUAGGUUAAGUCCUAAAACGAGCGAAACCCUUAUCGUUAGUUGCCAGCACGUUAUUGGUGGGGACUUUAACGAGACUGCCAAUGAUAAAUUUGGAGGAAAGGUGAGGAUCACGUCAAAUCAGCAUGCCCCCUUAUGACCUGGGCUACAAACGUGAUACAAUGGCUGUUACAAAGGGUAGCUGAAACGCAAGUUCUUGGCCAAUCCCCAAAAACAGUCCCAGUCCGGAUUGAAGUCUGCAACUCGACUUCAUGAAGUUGGAAUCGCUAGUAAUCCGCGAAUCAGCAUGUCGCGGUGAAUACGUUCUCGGGGUUUGUACACACCGCCCGUCA